Molecule: ribosomal RNA, 413 nt
Filed under: uncultured bacterium
Lineage: Bacteria
Description: bacterial SSU rRNA
Rfam family: Bacterial small subunit ribosomal RNA
Source: RNAcentral
UAGGGAAUCUUCCACAAUGGGCGAAAGCCUGAUGGAGCGACGCCGCGUGCAGGAUGAAGGCUUUCGGGUCGUAAACUGCUUUUCUGAGGGAAGCGGUACCUCAGGAAUAAGAGUUGGCUAACUCCGUGCCAGCAGCCGCGGUAAUACGGAGAACUCAAGCGUUACCCGGAAUCACUGGGCGUAAAGCGUGCGUAGGCGGUUUGUUAAGUGAGAUAUGAAAUGUUACGGCUCAACCGUAAAAGGUAUCCCAAACUAACAAACUAGAGGAUGGUAGAGGUCAGUGGAAUUGCUGGUGUAGGAGUGAAAUCCGUAGAUAUCAGCAGGAACACCAAUGGCGUAGGCAGCUGACUGGACCAUCCUGACGCUCAGGCACGAAAGCGUGGGGAGCGAACGGGAUUAGAUACCCGUGUAGU